UGAUUAGUAGAAGCCAAAAAUCGACGAUUGGCGCCAUUUUGAAAUCUAAGACGAUUGACUUGGUUUGUUUGAUAGAGCCCAUCAAACAAAUUUUCAUGCAAGAGGUGACAGAAUGGGGUCAAUGCACUUAAAAAAUCGGGGGUAGACUGAAUCAGGCACAGACAAUAUCGGUGGCUGAUAAUAUCGGAUCUUCCCUAUAUUUCUAAGUACUUCGAUAGUACCAUUAAAAAUAACUAUGUUUCUAGAAUCAUCCAUUUCGUAAACUAGCAUUCGGUGAAAUGGAAAUCAUCGUACUGACGCUCUUCCUUUUUUCAAAUCAUCUAUCUAUUGCUUUUAACCCUUUCAUUCCCAAAGUUUUUCUUGUGCAUGUAGGGUUUCAAAACUAUUUUUUCUUGAAAACAGUGAUGUUAAGAAACACGAAUUCUUUUUUCAUAAAGAUAGGAGCUUCCCUCGCAGCACUAGAAGCUGCUCAAUUUCUACCUUCUAAUGGUCAAUACAAUUCCCCUAGAAUAUUCGAUAUGAAACAGAUUUUGCUUAGUGACCGCACCCCACAACCCAUAACUCUGGAAUCGGAAAUCGGAUCGAGAUGAAAUUUAAUAGCCAUUUAAGGGGAUAAAACACCUUUCAUUUGAGACCAAGUUUGGUCGAAUCUCCGAAAAACCAAUGAGACUGUAACUCUUAAUUUGGAUACUUCCGCCGGGGCUUCCGGAACCGACGAUGGUGGCCAAUGUGACCAAAGAGACUUUGAAUGGCUGUUAGUGACCUAGUACUACAAAUCUAAGUAGAUGUGGCACCAGUUUGAAAAAGUUUUCACCUUUAUACAUUCAUUACAGAAUUUUUUAAAAUCAACAUUUUCUGCGUGAUCGUACUCUUCACUCUGUAACUCCGGAACCGGAAGUCAGAUCCAUUAUAAAUUCAAUAGCAGCCUACAGGAUACACGUUUCAUUUGAGACUAAGUUUAUGAAAAUCGGUUCAGCCAUCUCUGAGAAAAGUGAGUGAGAUUGUGGUCACAUACACACAGAGAAUUGACGGACUGAAUCGAAUGGUAUAUGUCACUCGAGCCUCCGGUUCUCCGUUGAAAAGACGGUUUUCAGAGCAGUUUUUCUAUUGAGAAAGGCAAAACGUAAAUCGUACGAACAAGUUAUAGCAAAUAGUGAUACAUUUAACACUUUUAUAAUGAGUGGCUCAUGUCCCUUCAGAUUUGACCGCACUUACCGCUUGAUGACGUCCCAGUUUGAUAUUUCUUUUGAGUGGUUUGAGAAAACUGAGAAAACGAAAAUCGUCAACGCAGGCCUGGAUACGGUUAAAGAAAUAUAAAUAAAUUUUGGUAGCCUCGCAUCGUUUUCCGGAGCAGUUGGAUAUGUAAGGAUAUUUAUUAUUUUAAAUCUAGUCCUGUAAUUUAAUUCUAUUAAUCGAAUCGUAUAUUUAAAGCAUUGUCAUCAAUACCCCCAGGGUUGCAAAAUUGAUUCGGUUCUGUGACUCCGAAUCUAAAGAAUAUGGCGUGCGACAUCGAAGAAUUUAUUCCGUGCAUUUUAGGUCGUCUUGUUUCAAACACCUAUUAAAUCUAUCUAAAGGGAAAAUGUUGCAAAAUUACACAAACUAAAAAUUAAAAAUUGACGCGUUUCGUUUUGCAGAUGAUGAUCGAGUUGCACUUUUUGUUGCCAACGAACGGAAAACAAAUAAUUGAAGAAAUUUUUCUCCUCAAAAUAUUUGAUUAUUUCUGCUGCCUCUGCACUCCUUGCUGUCGUUCGAUUCCGUUCACGUGGCUUCGACGUGCUGCCUCGAGGAUCGGCAACUCGUUGGUAGCGAGCCGCGUGGCUUGUUUCGAUAUUCCACCUGUUGCUAUGGGCCUUGGUUGCCUCUAGAUGACCUCGCAUCUGCGUGGUGACUUCAGGAAACUAUUCAGUCAUGUCAAACUGAGGCUUCCAAUAGUCAACACCGGUGAAACAACGUCAUCUCGGUUAUUGACUUCAGAUACAUCGAGCAAUACGGAACAUUUGAACAAGACUGUAGCUUACCCGAGCUCCGAGCCACUACAAUUCCAUUUGACUUCAGUCAUACCGGCUGGAAUAUAAUAUAGAAUUCUGGCUGUCUAAGAGACAAGUAUUUUAAUUGUGCAUUCAUUUUUAUUUGUUUUUUGUUGAUGAUUAAUUCAUUUCAAAUAUAUUUGUAGUUGGAACUGUGGCCACAUUUGCAAUUAUGGUGCCACUGACAUAUGAGCAAGCGUAUGGGGGAUAGACCACUAGUGAAUAAUUGUUCUUAAACCUGAGGGGUAACCACCCAUAUUGAUGGUGGUUUUAAGUGUUUUGUUACCAGCCACCAUCUUGGAUUUCAA
Long non-coding RNA from Topomyia yanbarensis, 2335 nucleotides. RefSeq lists it as uncharacterized. The record is from RefSeq and is a predicted model, not a curated record. Lineage: Eukaryota; Metazoa; Arthropoda; Insecta; Diptera; Culicidae. The transcript has 3 exons.